AGUUAUCUACAGCCGAGCGGUUAAGGCGCCAGCUUCAGGAUUAUCUAAUUCUGCUGGUCAGUUUACUGGCGUGGGUUCGAGUCCCACUCUCAUCA
Molecule: non-coding RNA, 95 nt
Organism: Karstenula rhodostoma CBS 690.94
Lineage: Eukaryota; Fungi; Ascomycota; Dothideomycetes; Pleosporales; Didymosphaeriaceae
Source: the annotation of a GenBank genome assembly